This 81-nucleotide ribosomal RNA is filed under the name Aeromonas caviae. The record is from RNAcentral. Lineage: Bacteria; Pseudomonadati; Pseudomonadota; Gammaproteobacteria; Aeromonadales; Aeromonadaceae.
CCUGGCGGCAAUAGCGCAGUGGAACCACCUGACCCCAUGCCGAACUCAGAAGUGAAACGCUGUAGCGCCGAUGGUAGUGUG